Molecule: long non-coding RNA, 1056 nt
Organism: Macaca mulatta (Rhesus monkey)
Lineage: Eukaryota; Metazoa; Chordata; Mammalia; Primates; Cercopithecidae
Source: RefSeq, a predicted model, not a curated record
UAUCUCUCUCCAAAGAUUUUGACUUGCCAAUUCCCAAUACCCUAUGUUGAAAGCCAGCUGGCUGCCCACACUUUUGAAAACACAGUGAGACAUUAACCCUCAAAGGCAAAGUCCAAGGGCACAAUUUUGCUGCAAGGGCUGCCUGCCUGACUGCAGCUUUAAUAGCUGAUUCUCCAAAUAUGCACUGACGUCAGUGAGAGUUCCCUGUGCUCAGCGUGUCUGACUCAGCCUCCACAGUGCAAUUUGGAGGGAAGAGUUUGACCUGAAGACGUUUCGCCUGCUACCUGUUUUAGGGUUUAAAGUGAAAUGCAGCCUUUAUGCCACCCCUGCAGCCUGCCCUGGAAAGGACAUGAAAGUGAAGAGAGAUGAAGUAACUCACUGAAGAGCACACACAUUGACAGCCCAGGUUAACUCUAAAGUGGGCUUCUUCAAGGUUCCCGACGCUGCCACAUCUCCAGUUGUUUCCUCCUGCUGGUCUCUCAGUUCUUCGUUUUUCUCUCCCAUCCCUGCUGUGUGAAAUCAUUUUUCUUGGCCAAGAUACAGAGUCAUGUCCAGUGCCUUCCUUAACUUUGUUCAGGUAUCUACCCUACCCUGGCUGUGGGUCCAGUUCUGAUUUGGGGGGAAUCUAAGGAGCCCUGAUCUAUUGCAAGUUAUUGCUGCUGCUGGGCCCACUCUGAUCUGAGUUCCAACUCCAGUUAAGAGAACCAAUUUUUUAUUGCUUGCCAAUUGUCCUCUCUAUGUCAGGCUUUUACAUGCUUCAUUUCAUUUAACCCUCCUAAUAAUUUAACAUGUGAUGAAACAGAUGCCCAGAGAGGGUAAGUGAUUUGACCAAGCCACCCUGCAAUGUAAAUGGGGAACCAGGAUUUUAAAACCUUGGUGUAUGAUGAAAACAACCCAAAUGCUGAUCAGCUGAUGAAUGGAUAAACAGAAUGUGAUAUAUCCAUACAAUGGAAUAUUAUGCAGCCAUUAAAGAAAUAAAGUAAUGAUACAUGCUAUGUAUUAGUCAUGAUUCUCACAAAAAAAGAACCAAUAGGAUAUAUGUAUGAGUGUAUGUAU